AGCAGCCGCGGUAAUUCCAGCUCCAAUAGCGUAUAUUAAAGUUGUUGCAGUUAAAAGCUCGUAGUUGAACUUCGGGAUUUAUUCAUUGGUCAGGCUUAAUUGUUUGUACUGGUGAGAUAAAUCUCUACCUUCUGAGGAACUUUUAUGCCAUUUAUUUGGUGUGAUUGGAAAUCAGGACUAUUACUUUGAAAAAUUGAGGGUUUAAAGCAGGCUAACGUCUGAAUACAUUAGCAUGGAAUAAUGAAAUAGGACGGACUGGCUCUAUUUGUUGGUUUCUAGGAUCACCGUAAUGAUUAAUAGGGAUAGUUGGGGGCAUUAGUAUUCAAUUGUCAGAGGUGAAAUUCUGGAUUUAUUGAAGACUAACUACUGCGAAAGCAUUUGCCAAGGAUGUUUCAUUAAUCAAGAACGAAAGUUAGGGAU
This 420-nucleotide ribosomal RNA is filed under the name uncultured Glomeromycotina. RNAcentral's name for it is "SSU rRNA". It matches the Rfam family "Eukaryotic small subunit ribosomal RNA", at positions 569 to 997 of the family's 1831-position model. The record is from RNAcentral. Lineage: Eukaryota; Fungi; Glomeromycota.